Molecule: ribosomal RNA, 823 nt
Filed under: Clostridioides difficile
Lineage: Bacteria; Bacillati; Bacillota; Clostridia; Peptostreptococcales; Peptostreptococcaceae
Description: partial 23S ribosomal RNA
Rfam family: Bacterial large subunit ribosomal RNA
Source: RNAcentral
GGUAAUAGUCCUGUAUGUUAAACGAGAAGACUUUAGAUAUGAUCCAGAGUACCACGGGACACGUGAAACCCUGUGGGAAGCAGGAGGGACCACCCUCCAAGGCUAAAUACUACCUAGUGACCGAUAGCGUAUAGUACCGUGAGGGAAAGGUGAAAAGAACCCCGGGAGGGGAGUGAAAUAGAACCUGAAACCCUGCACUUACAAGCUGUGGAAGCACAUUUCUUGUGUGACCGCGUACUUUUUGUAGAACGGGCCAACGAGUUACGUUAAGUAGCAAGGUUAAGCACUUAAGGUGCGGAGCCGUAGCGAAAGCGAGUUUUAACUGAGCGUUCAGUUACUUGACGUAGACCCGAAACCGGGCGACCUACCCAUGAGCAGGAUGAAGCGAAAGUAAAAUUUCGUGGAGGUCCGAACCCACGAGCGUUGAAAAGCUCGGGGAUGACUUGUGGGUAGCGGUGAAAUUCCAAUCGAGCCCGGAGAUAGCUGGUUCUCCCCGAAAUAGCUUUAGGGCUAGCCUCAAGGUGAGAGAUACGGAGGUAGAGCACUGAAUGUCCUAGGGGGUAUUGCACCUACCGAAGACUAUCAAACUCCGAAUGCCGUCAUCUUAUACUUGGGAGUCAGACUGUGGGUGAUAAGAUUCAUAGUCGAAAGGGCAACAGCCCAGAUCGUCAGCUAAGGUCCCUAAAUGUAAGUUAAGUGGUAAAGGAUGUGGGAUUGCACAGACAACCAGGAUGUUGGCUUAGAAGCAGCCACUCAUUCAAAGAGUGCGUAAUAGCUCACUGGUCGAGUGAUCCUGCGCCGAAGAUUUCCGGGGCUAAAACUU